AUUGAACGCUGGCGGCAUGCCUUACACAUGCAAGUCGAAUGGUAACAGGUCUUCGGAUGCUGACGAGUGGCGAACGGGUGAGUAAUACAUCGGAACGUGCCUAGUAGAGGGGGAUAACUACUCGAAAGAGUGGCUAAUACCGCAUGAGAUCUACGGAUGAAAGCAGGGGAUCGCAAGACCUUGUGCUACUAGAGCGGCCGAUGGCAGCUUAGGUAGUUGGUGGGAUAAAAGCUUACCAAGCCGACGAUCUGUAGCUGGUCUGAGAGGACGGUGGGCCACACUGGGACUGAGACACGGCCCAGACUCCUACGGGAGGCAGCAGUAGGGAAUUUUGGGCAAUGGGCGCAAGCCUGAUCCAGCAAUGCCGCGUGCAGGAUGAAGGCCUUCGGGUUGUAAACUGCUUUUGUACGGAACGAAAAGCCCCGGGUUAAUACCCUGGGGUCAUGACGGUACCGUAAGAAUAAGCACCGGCUAACUACGUGCCAGCCGCCGCCGUAA
RNAcentral lists this ribosomal RNA (498 nucleotides) under uncultured bacterium. Its description in RNAcentral is "partial 16S ribosomal RNA". It matches the Rfam family "Bacterial small subunit ribosomal RNA", at positions 30 to 523 of the family's 1533-position model. The record is from RNAcentral.